Ipomoea nil (Japanese morning glory) is the source of this 601-nucleotide long non-coding RNA. RefSeq lists it as uncharacterized. The record is from RefSeq and is a predicted model, not a curated record. NCBI's taxonomy places the organism in Eukaryota, Viridiplantae, Streptophyta, Magnoliopsida, Solanales, Convolvulaceae. The transcript has 2 exons.
AUGAAAGAUUAAAGCAGUGAAGCUUCAGAUCUCCACUCAAACUAUUAAAAGCCGCCGGUCUCCACUCUCGACUUAGACUGUUCAAGCCUUCAAGAGUUUCCGGUCUCCGGUGACUGUGACUCAAAGUUCAUAAACCCUAGGCCGUAAGGGACUGAGCUCUCACUCAAAUACUCAAGAACUAGGCCGAAAGAAAGGUAACCUCCUCUCUGGCAGUCUGGCAGUUUUGAUUGCUUACUUUUUUUUUUUUUCUAUAUCAGCAAAUUUGUUUGUGCCCAGAAAUUUGUUUAAUGUUUCUUUGAAAAUUUUUAAUAUUCCUUUAGGGCAUUAAAAUUAUCAUUAUAGUUUGCCCAGAAAAUUUGUUUGUGUAUGUUAGUAUGUUAUUUUAUAUUUUAUUUUAUGUGCUUUUUAGUGCCCAGAAACUAUAGUGUUAUACACUGUUCAGAAAAUUUGUUUAUAUUUGUUUGUGGCUUUGUACUUGCUUUAUGAAGAAAGAGGUAAGUAAAAUUAAUUGUGAAUUGUAUGUGUAUAUAGUAUAUAUGUGUCAAAAUGUGAUUAUAUGUGAAUAUAGUGAUAAAGUCUUGAAUUUAGUUUAUUUUGUGAA